UACCGCGGUUAUACGAGAAGCCCAAGUUGACAAGCUCCGGCGUAAAGCGUGGUUAAGGAGCAAUAAACACUAAAGCCGAACGCUUACUAGGCUGUUAUACGCUUCCGAAAGUAAGAAGCACAUCCACGAAGGUGGCUUUACCUUGCCUGAACCCACGAAAGCCAAGGCA
RNAcentral lists this ribosomal RNA (169 nucleotides) under Epinephelus tukula (potato grouper). Its description in RNAcentral is "partial 12S rRNA". Lineage: Eukaryota; Metazoa; Chordata; Actinopteri; Perciformes; Serranidae. The record is from RNAcentral.